GUGCUCGUUUCAGCAGCACACAUAAUAAAAUUCAAACAGUACAGAGAAGAUGAGCAUGGCCCUUGCACAAGGAUAACACACCAAUUUGGGAAGCAGUCCACAGUUUU
Camelus dromedarius (Arabian camel) is the source of this 107-nucleotide small nuclear RNA. The record is from Ensembl. NCBI's taxonomy places the organism in Eukaryota, Metazoa, Chordata, Mammalia, Artiodactyla, Camelidae.